GAUGAACGCUGGCGGCGUGCCUAAUACAUGCAAGUCGAGCGAACAGACGAGGAGCUUGCUCCUCUGACGUUAGCGGCGGACGGGUGAGUAACACGUGGAUAACCUACCUAUAAGACUGGGAUAACUUCGGGAAACCGGAGCUAAUACCGGAUAAUAUAUUGAACCGCAUGGUUCAAUAGUGAAAGACGGUUUUGCUGUCACUUAUAGAUGGAUCCGCGCCGCAUUAGCUAGUUGGUAAGGUAACGGCUUACCAAGGCAACGAUGCGUAUCCGACCUGAGAGGGUGAUCGGCCACACUGGAACUGAGACACGGUCCAGACUCCUACGGGAGGCAGCAGUAGGGAAUCUUCCGCAAUGGGCGAAAGCUUGACGGAGCAACGCCGCGUGAGUGAUGAAGGUCUUCGGAUCGUAAAACUCUGUUAUUAGGGAAGAACAAAUGUGUAAGUAACUAUGCACGUCUUGACGGUACCUAAUCAGAAAGUCACGGCUAACUACGCG
RNAcentral lists this ribosomal RNA (497 nucleotides) under uncultured bacterium. RNAcentral's name for it is "partial 16S ribosomal RNA". It matches the Rfam family "Bacterial small subunit ribosomal RNA", at positions 28 to 507 of the family's 1533-position model. The record is from RNAcentral.